AGUGAACGCUGGCGGUAGGCCUAACACAUGCAAGUCGAACGGUAACAGGUCUUCGGAUGCUGACGAGUGGCGAACGGGUGAGUAAUACAUCGGAACGUGCCUAGUAGUGGGGGAUAACUACUCGAAAGAGUGGCUAAUACCGCAUGAGAUCUACGGAUGAAAGCAGGGGAUCGCAAGACCUUGUGCUACUAGAGCGGCCGAUGGCAGGUUAGGUAGUUGGUGGGAUAAAAGCUUACCAAGCCGACGAUCUGUAGCUGGUCUGAGAGGACGAUCAGCCACACUGGGACUGAGACACGGCCCAGACUCCUACGGGAGGCAGCAGUGGGGAAUUUUGGACAAUGGGCGCAAGCCUGAUCCAGCAAUGCCGCGUGCAGGAUGAAGGCCUUCGGGUUGUAAACUGCUUUUGUACGGAACGAAAAGCCCCGGGUUAAUACCCUGGGGUCAUGACGGUACCGUAAGAAUAAGCACCGGCUAACUACGUGCCAGCCGCCGCAGUAA
Molecule: ribosomal RNA, 498 nt
Filed under: uncultured bacterium
Lineage: Bacteria
Description: partial 16S ribosomal RNA
Rfam family: Bacterial small subunit ribosomal RNA
Source: RNAcentral